Molecule: small RNA, 124 nt
Filed under: Oryza sativa Japonica Group (Japanese rice)
Lineage: Eukaryota; Viridiplantae; Streptophyta; Magnoliopsida; Poales; Poaceae
Description: sRNA Os02g0638950
Source: RNAcentral
AAAUCACAUUAAUAGGACAACUGAAAUUGUGCACGUCAUUUUGGGCUUUGUUCUAACCCAACCUAUUGUAUCGUUUGUCCAAUUACAACAUUUCUGACAAUAUUCGUUAUGAAGUUCCAUACAA